GACGAACGCUGGCGGCGUGCCUAAUACAUGCAAGUCGAACGCACUCUCGUUUAGAUUGAAGGAGCUUGCUCCUGAUUGAUAAACAUUUGAGUGAGUGGCGGACGGGUGAGUAACACGUGGGUAACCUGCCCUAAAGUGGGGGAUAACAUUUGGAAACAGAUGCUAAUACCGCAUAAAACCCAACACCGCAUGGUGUAGGGUUGAAAGAUGGUUUCGGCUAUCACUUUAGGAUGGACCCGCGGUGCAUUAGUUAGUUGGUGAGGUAAAGGCUCACCAAGACCGUGAUGCAUAGCCGACCUGAGAGGGUAAUCGGCCACACUGGGACUGAGACACGGCCCAGACUCCUACGGGAGGCAGCAGUAGGGAAUCUUCCACAAUGGACGAAAGUCUGAUGGAGCAACGCCGCGUGAGUGAAGAAGGUUUUCGGAUCGUAAAACUCUAGUUGUUGGAGAAGAAUGUAUCUGAUAGUAACUGAUCAGGUAGUGACGGUAU
RNAcentral lists this ribosomal RNA (492 nucleotides) under uncultured bacterium. RNAcentral's name for it is "bacterial SSU rRNA". It matches the Rfam family "Bacterial small subunit ribosomal RNA", at positions 28 to 478 of the family's 1533-position model. The record is from RNAcentral.